Long non-coding RNA from Sapajus apella (tufted capuchin), 182 nucleotides. RefSeq lists it as uncharacterized. The transcript is spliced from 3 exons. The record is from RefSeq and is a predicted model, not a curated record. NCBI's taxonomy places the organism in Eukaryota, Metazoa, Chordata, Mammalia, Primates, Cebidae.
UUGCAUGUAUCGCUCAAGGAGUCUUUUCCCUCAAUAUCCUGGAACAUUUUCCCAGUGUUUUCCUUCUGUAGUUUCAUAGUUUGAAGUCUUAGAUUUAAGUCUUUAAUUCAUUUUGAAUUGUUUUUUUUAUAUAGCAAGAGAUAAGGGUCCACUUUCAUUCUUCUUACUAUGAAUAUACAGUU